UCCCUGGUGGCUCAGAGGUUAAAGCAUCUGCCUGCAAUGCAGGAGAAUCUGGGUUUGAUCCCUGGGUUGGGAA
This 73-nucleotide transfer RNA is filed under the name Ovis aries (sheep). It matches the Rfam family "tRNA". From Rfam's summary of the family: Transfer RNA (tRNA) molecules are approximately 80 nucleotides in length. Their secondary structure includes four short double-helical elements and three loops (D, anti-codon, and T loops). Lineage: Eukaryota; Metazoa; Chordata; Mammalia; Artiodactyla; Bovidae. The record is from Rfam by way of RNAcentral.